This 1827-nucleotide ribosomal RNA is filed under the name marine metagenome. RNAcentral describes it as "bacterial LSU rRNA". It matches the Rfam family "Bacterial large subunit ribosomal RNA", at positions 1 to 2104 of the family's 2925-position model. The record is from RNAcentral.
UCAAACAAAAGCCGUAUUUUGUGGAUGCCUUAGGUUCAUAUGCACAAUGGGCGCUUUACGAUGCGAAACGUUGUAUCUGAGACAUCAUUCUGAUAGGUACAAAUCCCCACAGCGGUAAACCGCAAUAUUUUGACACGAGGAGAACUGAAACAUCUAAAUAUCCUCUAGGAAAAGAAAUCAACCGAGAUUCCGUUAGUAUUGGCGAAAGAACGCGGACAAGGCAUAUGAUUAUGAAAUUGAAAAACAUGUUGGAAUACAUAGACCAAAGAAGGUAAAAGUCCUGUAUUAUGCCUUUCAUAAUCAUCAAGAGUAGAACGUUAGACUGUUUGAAAAUAGGAGAACCACCUUCUAAGCCUACAUAUGCAUAUGAGACCGAUAGUGAACAAGUACUGUGAAGGAAAGGUGAAAAGAACCCUCUUGUAUAGGGAGUGAAAAGAUCUGAAACAAAAUACAUACAAUCAAUCGAUAUAUUAAAAAAAUGUAUCGGUGUACCUUUUGCAUAAUGGGUCAGCGACUAAAUGUGUGCAGCUUGCUUAAGCAACGAUGUGGAGGCAAAGCAAAAGCUAGUAGGUUUUCCUGCGUUUGUUGCAUGCAUUUGACCCGAAACUAAGUGAUCUCGUUUUGAGCAGGUUGAAGAAAGCGUAAAGUCUUUUGGAGGACCGAACCGACGUCUGUAGCAAUAGGCGCGGAUGACUUGAUACGAGGGGUGAAAGGCCAAUCAAACUUAGAAAUAGCUGGUUCUUCGCGAAAUUUAUUGAGGUAAAGCGUCUAUUAAAUCUUUCUGGGGGUAGAGCACUUAUUGAGCUAUGGGGGUCCAAAACCUUACUGCUCUCAAGAAAACUCCGAAUACCAGUAAAGUAUAAUAGGCAGACAGACAAGCGGUGCUAAGGUCGCUUGUCGAAAGGGAAACAGCCCAGCCUGGCCGCUAAGGUCCCAAAGCAUUCUGUGAGUGGGAAAAGAUGUGAUACAACUAUGACAACUAGGAGGUUGGCUUGGAAGCAGCCAUUCUAUCAUGAAAGCGUAAUAGCUCACUAGUCGAGUUGUGUUGCGCUGAAAAUGUAUCGGGGCUGAACAGAAUCACCGAAGCGCCAGUUUUUAAGUAGCGAAGCGUUUUGUGCGCCAAUGAACAUACAUCGUAAGAUUUGUGGAAGGUCUCAAAAGUGACUAUGCUGACAUGAGUAACGAAAAAUCAUGUAAAGCCAUGAUCGCCGUAAGUCCAAGGGUUUCUGCUAACUGGGAAUCAGUGCAGAGUUAAGUUCGGUCCCUAAGAGUUUGUAUACACUUAUACGCUCGAUGGAGGACGUUUAUGCAAGACGGCUAUUAUACACAAAUACUGCAAAUUGGAUACGGUGUAUGUGUGUUGUAGUCCAGGAAAAAAGCAUUAAUGCAAGACCGUACCCGAAACCGACACAGGUGGACGAGUCGAGUAGACUCAGGCGUUGAGUGAACCAUAUUGAAGGAACUCGGCAAAAUAAUCCCGUAACUUAGGAAGAAGGGAUACCGAAAGGUGACACAAAAAUGGGGGUGACGACUUUUUACUAAAAAAUUAGGACUCUGCAAAAUGGUAACAUGCUGUAUAGGGUCUGACGUCUGCCCGGUGCUAGAAGUCUAAAAGGCGCAUUGCAAGAUGCAAAUGGAAAGCCUAGUAAACGGCGGUUGUAACUAUAACAAUCAUAAAGUAGCGAAAUUCAUUGCCAGCUAAUUCCUGGCCUGCAUGAAAGACGUAACGAUUGCCCCACUGUCUCCAGUAUGGACUCAGUGAAAUUGAAUUCUCCGUGCAGAUGCGGAGUACGUGCCCCAAGACGAGAAGACCCUGUGCAUCUUUAC